GAUGAACGCUAGCUACAGGCUUAACACAUGCAAGUCGAGGGACCGGCGCACGGGUGAGUAACACGUAUCCAACCUGCCCUUUACUCGGGGAUAGCCGUUCGCAAGAAAGAUUAAUACCCGAUAUAAUGGAUGGGGAUGCGUUCGGUUAGGUUGUUGGUGAGGUACCGGCGAACCAAGCCUUCGAUGGAUAGGGGUUCUGAGAGGAAGGUCCCCCACAAUGGAACGGAGACACGGUCCAAACUCGGACGGGAGGCAGCAGUGAGGAAUAUUGGGAAAUGGGCGCUAGCCUGAACCAGCCAAGUAGCGUGAAGGAGGAAGGCUUAUGAGUCGUAAACUUCUUGUAUAUAAGAAGAUGUAUUAGAUGAAUAAGGAUCGGCUAACUCCGUGCCAGCAGCCGCGGUAAUUC
RNAcentral lists this ribosomal RNA (406 nucleotides) under uncultured bacterium. RNAcentral describes it as "partial 16S ribosomal RNA". It matches the Rfam family "Bacterial small subunit ribosomal RNA", at positions 28 to 526 of the family's 1533-position model. The record is from RNAcentral.